This 301-nucleotide ribosomal RNA is filed under the name uncultured bacterium. Its description in RNAcentral is "partial 16S ribosomal RNA". It matches the Rfam family "Bacterial small subunit ribosomal RNA", at positions 509 to 809 of the family's 1533-position model. The record is from RNAcentral.
CAGCCGCCGCGGUAAUACGAGGGGGGCAAGCGUUGUUCGGAAUUACUGGGCGUAAAGGGCGCGUAGGCGGCACGAUUAGUCAGGCGUGAAAUUCCUGGGCUCAACCUGGGGACUGCGCUUGAUACGGUCGAGCUAGAGGAUGGAAGAGGGUUGUGGAAUUCCCAGUGUAGAGGUGAAAUUCGUAGAUAUUGGGAAGAACACCGGUGGCGAAGGCGGCAACCUGGUCCAUUACUGACGCUGAGGCGCGACAGCGUGGGGAGCAAACAGGAUUAGAUACCCCCGUAGUCCCUGUCUCUUAUAA